Molecule: long non-coding RNA, 509 nt
Organism: Amphimedon queenslandica
Lineage: Eukaryota; Metazoa; Porifera; Demospongiae; Haplosclerida; Niphatidae
Exons: 2
Source: RefSeq, a predicted model, not a curated record
AUAUAAUUUUAAUAAAAUGGCCUCUAGAAGAUAGGUAGUAUUUGAAGGAGUUUAAUGAGGUCUGAGGUUCAAAGAGAAGUCAAGAAGGAACAGAAAUGGGUCUCACAAAGUCUGUUAUCGAUGAUUAAGAUAAUUUUUUGUGCCUGCUGACAGGAUUUAGUGCCAAACAAAAUGUCGAUCACUACUGUGGCUCAGUACUGUUAUGUCCUCUGGAAAAUAAGUUCUGGAACAGAAAGACUCUUCCUUAGUCCCCUGGUUAAUGAGUAAAGCUAGCAAGUUUGCCUCUUGAUGAGCAACAAGUUAAGAAAUGUGCUAUAGGAGUACAUACUGUUAUGGAACUUGGGGAACUACUUCUACCUCAUCUGCAAAUGAUGUCUGUAAUAGCCAUGGCUUUUACAGCAUUCUUAUUACUAUCAUUAUAUAAUUAUACAAUUUUAGUCAAUUUUGCAUUAUUAAACAUACUAUCAUACUGUUUUGAUCUGAUAACAAAAUGCAUUUAAUAAGUAGAA